CGUAGAGCUAAUACCGGAUAAUAUAUUGAACCGCAUGGUUCAAUAGUGAAAGACGGUUUUGCUGUCACUUAUAGAUGGAUCCGCGCCGCAUCAGCUAGUUGGUAAGGUAACGGCUUACCAAGGCAACGAUGCGUAGCCGACCUGAGAGGGUGAUCGGCCACACUGGAACUGAGACACGGUCCAG
RNAcentral lists this ribosomal RNA (184 nucleotides) under uncultured Staphylococcus sp. RNAcentral describes it as "partial 16S ribosomal RNA". It matches the Rfam family "Bacterial small subunit ribosomal RNA", at positions 156 to 334 of the family's 1533-position model. Lineage: Bacteria; Bacillati; Bacillota; Bacilli; Caryophanales; Staphylococcaceae. The record is from RNAcentral.